Molecule: long non-coding RNA, 5470 nt
Filed under: Homo sapiens (human)
Lineage: Eukaryota; Metazoa; Chordata; Mammalia; Primates; Hominidae
Description: HSALNT0307481
Source: RNAcentral
ACUGCCAGGACCCAGAAACUAAUGCUUUCCUUGCCUAAUAAAGUCUCACUCUGUCGCCCCGGCUGGAGUGCAGUGCUGCGAUCUCUGCUCACUGCAACCUCCGCCUCCUGGGUUCAAGCGAUUCUCCUGCCUCAGCCUCCUGAGUAGCUGGGAUUACGGUGACCACCACCACGCCCAGCUAAUUUUUUGUACUUUUAGUAGAGACGGGAUUUCAUCAUGUUGGCCAGGCUGGUCUCCAUCUUCUGACCUCGUGAUUCACCCACCUCGGCCUCCCAAAGUGCUGGGAUUACAGAGAUUCUGUGAGGAGCUGGAAGGCAAGCUUGGUUCAUGCAGACAUGAGGCACUAAUGUUUUCAACUGGGUUGCUCUCCACUGGAUGCCUAUUAAAUGCUCAGCACUUUGGAGUAUACCAGAGAAGUAAAGACAUGGCCCCUGCCUUCAAGGAGCAUUUUAUCCAGUUGGAUUUCAAACCUGUUCUUUGGGGAUGGCCCAACCCCACUUGUUCAGUUUUGCAGCCAGAAGCAUGGAUUCAUCAUCAGUAUGGUGGGACGCUACUUCAGACUGCUUUCAUGUCAAGAUCUGCCUCAUCUUCCAAAGUGGGAGUUCCCAGCAUUAGGCUUGUGGGGGUGGAAGCUUAAUCCGCCUCCUUCCAAAAACUGAAAUCUGGCCAGACGCGGUGGCUCACACCUGUAAUCUCAGCACUUUGGGAGGCUAAGGCAAGUGGAGCACGAGGUCAGGAGAUCGAGACCAUCCUGGCCAACAUGGUGAAACCCCAUCUCUACUGAAAAUACAAAAAUUAGCCGGGCAUGGUGGCUUGUGCCUGUAAUCCCAGCUACUCGAGAGACUGAGGCGAGAGAAUUGCUUGAACCCGGGAGGCAGAGGUUGCAGUGAGCCAAGAUCCCACCACUGCACAUCAGCCUGGGCGACAGAACCAGAUUCUGUCUGAGAAAAAAAAAAAAAAAGAAAGAAAGCCAACCAAUUCUUGCUGUAACUUCUGAAAAAGAACACAGUGCUGUGGCAGCAAUAAUGAUGACAUUCUUCCAAGGGGCAGGAUAAGAAAGAGGCAAAACAGCUGCUGGAGGUGGAUUUUUGGCAUUAGGGAAGUGUGAAAUGUGAAAAAUCGCUAUCACAGAAGAUCAAAGGAGUUAAGAAAAACUCACAAUUUAGAGCUACCUGUUUGUAUUAGUCUGUUUUUAUACCGCUAUAAAGAUACUACCUGAGACUGGGUAAUUUAUAAAGAAAAGAGAUUUAAUUGACUCACAGUUCCACAUGUCUGGGGAGGCCUCAGGAAACUUACAAUCAUGGUGGAAGGUGAAGGGGAAGCAGGCACCUUCUUCACAAGGCAGCAGGAGGGAGGGAGAGAGAAGCAAAGUGGGAAGAGCUCCUUAUAAAACCAUCAGAUCUAUGAGAACUCACUCAUUGUCAUAAGAACAGCAUGGGGGAACCUCCCCCAUGAUCCAAUCACCUCCCACCAGGUCUCUCCCUCAACACCCGGGAAUUACAAUUCAAGAUAAGAGGCCGGGCACUCACCUGUAAUCCUAGCACUUUGGGAGGCCGAGGCGGGCAGAUGGCCUGAGCUCAGGAGUUUGAGACCAGCCUGGGCAACAUGGUGAAACCCCAUCUCUACUAAAAUACAAACAACAACAACAAAAAUUAGCGGGCGUGGCAGCGUGUGCCUGUAGUCCCAGGUACUCAGGAGGCUGAGGCAGGAGAAGUGCUUGAACCCUGGAAGCAGAGGUUGCAGUGAGCUGAGAUCGUGCCACUGCACUCCAGCAUGGCGACAGAGCGAGACUCCAUCUCAAAAAACAAAAACAAAAACAAUUCAAGAUGAAAUUUGAGUGGGGACACAAAGCCUAAACAUAUCACUGUUUUACAGCGUAAACAGUCACCUAAGUUAACUGUGUUAGAUAUGGUUUCUUGCAUACAUUUUCACUACCUUCUCUAUAUACUCCAUUUUUACUCUACAGAAUUAUAGAAACUGGAAGGCUCAAAACUAUAUUUCCCACUUUUCACCAUCCAUAAAAGUCACAAUUGUAAAUCUAAGUGGGACAAUAACAGUUUCACAAGAAAACAGAAGAAUACUCACGAUUUUGGAAUCCACAAAGAUUUCUUAAACUGGAGACACACAAAAUAAAUAAGCCAUAAAGGAAAACAUCUGAUAAACUAAACUAAUUCAAAAUUAUGAAUGUCUUCUUCAAAAUACACUAUUAAAAGAGUGAAUAAAAUAAGCCACAGAGUGGGCUGGGCACAGUGGCUCACGCCUGUAAUCCCAGCACUUUGGGAGGCCGAAGCAGGCAGAUCACAAGGUCAGGAGAUUGAGACCAUCCUGGCUCACAUGGUGAAACCCCGUCUCUACUAAAAAUACAAAAAAUUAGCUGGGCAUGGUGGCGGGCACCUGUAGUCCCAGCUACUUGGGAGGCUGAGGCAGGAGAAUGGCGUGAACCCGGGAGGAGGAGCUUGCAGUGAGCCGAGAUCACGCCACUGCACUCCAGCCUGGGUGACAGAGCAAGACUCCAUCUCAAAAAAAAAAAACAAAAAACAAAAAGCCACAUAGUGGCAAAAGAUAUUAUCAAUACAUAUACCCGACAAAGGACUCAUAUCCAGAAUAAAGGACUAUAAAAACAAGAAAAGGCAGACAAGCCCAUAGAAAAUCACACAAAACACAUGAAUAGGCAUUUCACAGAAGAGGGUACCCAAAUGGCCAAUAAACAAUUAAAAAGGUGUUUAUUUGAUAUCAGAAAAAUGAAAACAACAAUGAGAUUCAAUACACUGCAUUAGUCUUUGAAGAGAAUGGCUAAAAUUUAAAAGAUGGAAAAGAUCAAGUUUUGAUGAAGAUGUGAAAAACUGUUGGGCAGUACUACUCAAGCUGAACCCCAUGCAUCAGAGAAAUUACACUUUUAUAUAUCCAACUGAAAUAUGUGUGUGUGUGUGUGUUCACCAAUGUUCACAGUGGCACUAGUUGCAGUAAUCUCAAAUUGGAAACAACCCAAAUGUCCAUCUUUGGUAGAACGUAUAAAUUGUGUUAUAUUCAUACAAUGGAAUACUACACAGCAAUGAAAAUGAAGAUACUAUUAUUACUCUCAACAUGAAUGAAUCUCACAAAUAGUUGAGUAGGAAAAGCCAGUAAUAAAAUAAUACACACUGUAUCAUUCCAUUUUGUCUAAUGUUUAAAAAUAGGCCAAAUUGGUCUAGGGUAUUAGAAGCCAAGAUUACAGUCAAUUUGAGGGAGGAUAAUGCCUAGAAAAGAUAAUGAAGGGAGCUUCUGGUAUGGUAGUAGUUUCUGCCUCCCAAUCUGGGUGCUAGCAAUAUGUAGGUGUGUUUACUUUAUGAAAAUUCAUCAAGCUCUCUGAUUAUAAUUUGUGCAUUUUUCUGUCUGUAUGCUAUACUUCAAUAAAGAUAGAUUUAUACUGAGUUAGGAACAAAGCUCAAUAACUAUAAUUCUAGGCUGAGCUGCUAAUAGGAUUUGUUAAACAAUUUAAACUGUGCCAGUCAGAUAUAAUGAUGCGAAAUUAGAAAGGUAAAAGGAAGAGAGAGGCUAUUUCCCCUGCCUAUUAGUUUUCCUUCCUUCCUUCCUUCCUCCCUUUUCUUUCUCUUCUUUCUCCUUCCUUCUUUCUCUUUCUCCUUCCUUCCUUCCUUCCUUUUCUUUCUCUUCUCCUUCCUUCCUUCCUUCCUCUUCUUUCCCUUCCUUCCUUUCUCUCUCUCUCUUUUUACCUUCCUCCUUCCCUCCCUCCUUCUCUCUCUCUAUUUAUUUAUUUUUUGAGAAAGAUUCUUGUUCUGUCCAGGCUGGAGUACAGUGGCACAAUCACAACUCACUGCAGCCUAGACCUCCUGGGCUCAAGGAUCCUCCCACCUCAGUGUCCCAAAUGUUUGGGACUUCAGGCAUGCACCAACAUGCCUGGCUGCCUAUUAGUUUUCACUGGUAGUUGUUGAUGUACGUGCAACAUUAAAUGUGGUUUUUAAUGACCAGACUUUCUGUGCCUCUGCAUUGCCACUAACUUCAUCUGUGAGAAAUGACUGUGAUGCCAGCAGUGGACUUUAUAGCUUCCUGACCUCUAGAUUGUAGCUGUGUGGACUGAACUGCGAGCCCAACAGCAUCCCUCUAAUGGUAAGAGCAUAUAAUUUUUAAGCAUAUAAUUCUUAGCAUUCAGUACCUAGAGAAGUGUCUGCACUGAACCCCAACUGAUAUAUCAGUUAAUAACACAACUGAUAGGUUAUCUAGUAGGUUUAUGGUUGGUUGUAAGAAUCUUUGGGAAAGAAAAUUACCAUUGGCAAUCCUACCACCUAGGAUCAUCAUUAUCAUGGGAAAGUUCUGCUUUAGAGGCAACCUAAAUCUAUUUUGAGGUCCUGAAAAUGCAUUUACUUCACAGGAUAUGCUGGUUUCUGCUGCCAUUCAAAAAUUAUUCUUAAGGCAUUCUUUGUUCUCUUUUCACUAGCUAAAUAAUGCCGUGCUUUUAACUUUUCUUUAUGUGUUCAGCAGCUUUUCCCAGUUGUGGAUAUUUGAAAAAAGUAUUCAUAUAAAUACUGCCUGUUCUGGUAGGAUUAGCUGUCCCUUUCUUUUGGUUAUAUUCCCAAGUUCAUUCUUGCUUAUCUAACCAAAGCCCUACAUUGCUGACUCAAGUUUAGUUUAUGGUCCAAGCCCAGUAUCAUGUUACUAUUAGCCAAGAUUUCCCAUGGGUUGAGGCAGACUUGUAGAAGAUUGAAAAAUAAAACUUACUGGCCAUAAGUAAGACUUUUUAUCUGGCCUUCCAGUACAGAACAUUCUCUAAUAUAGCAGCUUAUAAACAAUGAGAAUCAGAAGCCUAAAAAAAUUAGUUAAUAGCCAAACAGUGACUGAAUCAUGGAAUUGUACAGUUAGAAUGGACCUUAGAAGCAGUCUAUAUAAGCCAGGUAUAGUGGCUCAUGCCUGUAAUCUCAGCACUUUGGGAGGCCAAGGCAGGAGGAUCUCUUGAGCCCUGGAGUUUGAGACCAGCCUGGCCAAAAUGGUGAGACCCCAUCUCUACUAAUUUUUUUAAAAAGUCUAUAUACAUACCAGAACACAGAGCUCAGAUAUGUAUGCAGGAUUCCAGUCCGUGCUGAAUACUCUUCCAGUAUGAGUACUCUUCCUACUCCUCAAGGUGUGUGGCCCUCAAAGCAGCAGCAUCAGCACUUACCUGGGAGCUUGUUAGAAAGCCAGAAUCUCAGGCUCCAACACCCACUGAAGCAGAAUUUGCAUGUAACACCCCCACCCCUUCUUGAUUUGUAUGCAUGUUGAAAUUUGUGGAGUUAGAGACAAAAGCACCACAGGUGCAUGUCUUACUAUUUAAAGUCUUGCCUAAUUAUAUAACAUAGAAACCUGAUCCCUUCUGGACAAGGCCUGUAUUAUUACAGGUCCUGGUCUAAUAGAGUAUUUGAAUAGCUGGGUUAAAGAAAAAGAAAACUCUCUUUAAUAAUCUUUGGAAAAAGAGGACAUUUAUUUGAGCUAUGCUAGUUUU